This is a long non-coding RNA of Mirounga angustirostris (Northern elephant seal), 2780 nucleotides long. RefSeq lists it as uncharacterized. NCBI's taxonomy places the organism in Eukaryota, Metazoa, Chordata, Mammalia, Carnivora, Phocidae. The record is from RefSeq and is a predicted model, not a curated record. The transcript has 4 exons.
AUCUAUACGCUUUUACUUUAAGCAAAUCGCAAUGUGAGAUAAAGCAAGUGAAAAGGCAUCAGCUAUUUUAAUGUGAUAUGAGAAUUUAGACUUCUAAAAUUAGAAGGUUCAUGUGCUAUUUACGAACAGAUUCCAAUUUCAUUCCCACAUUCCUUUGUAUAUGGAAUGUGCAAUAAAUAGUUUUGCUCAUUCCCCUGGAAGGAAAACAACUGAAAUUGAAUUCUUCUUGAAAGUUAGAACAAGAAAAACAAAUAAAAAACCACCGAUAUGAUAACAUAAUCAUUAUAUAUUGCCACAUGGUAUUCUUAUUUUUCCCCUUGUUCUUUAUUUCUUAAAGUAUCCACUUCGUUUAUUGGAAGUGAGGGAAUUUGAGAGUGCUUGGAACUACAAUUUGAAUUAAUUCCUGGUCAAAUCACAAGCAGUAAGCUCAGUAGAACUUAAAAUUGGUAGAAUGAUUCUCAUAUCAAGAUAUAAUUUCUUAAACCUAUGUUUAAAAUAACAAUUUCCUAAUGCAGACAAUAGUUAAUACAGAAAAAUGAUUGGAAGUAACAGAUGUGAAUUCAAAUAAAUCAAGAUCAAACAUAGAAAGACACAAAUGGUAGAAGCAUACAAUACUAAAGAGAUCUUUAAGAGAGGCACGAAUAGGAUUUUAGCAAACUGCAAAAAAAAAAAAUAGCUACAAGAGGGGGAGUGUUUCAGAUAAAAUCGAGGUGAUGUCAGUGAAUAUGUGGUCUAUAGUAGCCAUCAAAGGUCUAAAAGGACUGUGUGGUGAAGGGUGUCGAAAGUGGAAACUGACUUCUAAGAAAUUUUAUUUUCUAGUUCUCUGAACUCUGAACAUCUGAAAACCAGCAGGAAUGGGAAAGAAAAAUUUCACAAUGAGGAGAUUCAGAGUCACCGGUUAAACACGUGGUUCCAACACUGUGUGCCGAGGCACCCAUCAGGAGGUUCCCAAGGGUUUGGGAGGAUAUUUAAUGUCCUUGAGGAGAAUACAGUGAUACCUAUCAGACCCUGCAUGAACUACUAGCCUGAGCCACUUCCCAUUUUCAGCGUAAUAGAUUGAGCUGUCUUCCUUUAUGUGAUAUCGCAUCUCUGAAAAGCUGAGUUUUGGUGAUCACUGUGGCAAAGAAAAUAAUUUUGGACCAGUAGAAGAGAGCGGCGAGGUAUUUUUUUAAGGUCUCAAAAUGAGGAUACUGUCUUGCACAUGCAAGAUCAUCCUAAAGAAUCCUGAUGCUGUUCUCACCUUCACACUCAUUCAUGGCCUGCAAAGUGGCGUACUUUUGCAUCCAGCUGUAGGCCUCCUAGGAGCUGUUUCCAACUGCUGGGAAACACUCAUGGAUUUUAUUUAUUUAUUUAUUUGAGAGAGAGAGAGAGAGAAACAGCAUGAGAGGGGAUAGGGUCAGAGGGAGAAGCAGGCUCCCUGCCGAGCCGGGAGCCCGAUGCGGGACUCGAUCCCAGGACUCCGGGAUCAUGACCUGAGCCGAAGGCAGUCGCUUAACCAACUGAGCCACCCAGGCGCCCUACUUCGGAAUUUUAAACAAAAGUUUCCAGUCACUUCUAAUCAACUUGCGUUAUAAUAUAAAGGCAAAUCAGCACUCCACAAAAUGAAGGAUACUGGGAAGUUAGCUUCAAGAUAAAUCUGUGGGAAGAUGCCUGAGAACAAUCAGUGAAUAUUAACUUUCUCCUGUGGACAUUCUGCUGGAGUGAUGUUCACACCAUGACUUCUCCUGUUCAGCUGUGUUCUCUCUAUUCUUUUCGCUUUCUUCAAUCCCUUUGCCUAAUAGUAUUUCUGCUUUCAUUUCCCGCGUCUGCCUGCCACAUUUCCAACUGUCCAAAUGCCUUUACUUGGUCCAUUUCUAGGGUUAUCAUUUCUCUUGAUUUCUAAGCUUUCCUUAUAUAUUUUACUAUGUCCAAUAUCCUCAUCUUGCCUGUUGCUCUCCACAUUUAUUUAUUUAUUUUAAAGAUUUUAUUUAUUUAUUUGACACAGAGAGAGAGAGCACAAGCAGAGGGAGAGGCAGGUUCCCCGCUGAGGAAGGAGCCCGAUGUGGGGCCCGAUCCCAGGAUCCUGGGAUCAUGACGUGAGUCGAAGGCAGAAGCUUAACCGACUGAGCCACCCAGACGCCCCUGCUCUCCACAUUUCUAACUGCAUUUUCGGGGGCCAGCUGACCCACGGUUCUCUGACGUCUCUGCUAAGGGGCAGCCACAGAAUCAUGGACAAAGACAAGUGACCAUGUCUCCACACUUGAUCUAGGGAUUAGAUAUAUUGGUUCUCACCAAUGAUUGUUAGUCCUCCCUUGGGGCAUUUUGCUAACAACAAGAGACAGCAAAAAGGCAAGCAGCUUGAUGUGAGAAAAUAUCUGGGACUACCCUUUCUACUUUGCCAUGGAGUAACUGCCUAAAACAACUUUCCAGACAUCACCUGUGGAUAGGAAAGAGUAUUUUUAGAACACAGGUUACAGAAUUUCUGUGAGAGAGUUGUUUUACAGAAUUACUUGGUAGAGAAUAUAACAAUUACGGGGGGGAAAGCUGAAAAUAUAAGUUCAAAGAUUUCUACUGUGGAAAAAAAUUCAUAUGUACCUAACAUGUGUCACAAACACUGUACAGUUAAUCUGUAUGUAAUACAGAGUUCAGAGACCUCAAUGUUGUUAAAGCUAGUUGGAGAUACUGUUCUCAUUCUAAAAAUAUAAUGCUUACCUCUUUAUGUGUAUCGUGUCUAGAUUAAUUAAGCUGAUCUCCUAUGAAGUUUGCCACUCUAUCUGCUAACACUGUUAACAUAACAUGUU